RNAcentral lists this ribosomal RNA (768 nucleotides) under Triticum aestivum (bread wheat). Its description in RNAcentral is "partial small subunit ribosomal RNA". Lineage: Eukaryota; Viridiplantae; Streptophyta; Magnoliopsida; Poales; Poaceae. The record is from RNAcentral.
AUGUUUUUUAAUAGCAGAUGUCUUUGUGACUUGGCUAAACAUUUAUUCAUUGCGGAAUGUAAUAGAGAAUACAAUUUACCCGCAAAAAAAAGAGAAUACAAUUUAGAUUUUUUGGCUAUCUCUGAAACGGGGAGACGUGAUUUCUCAGUAAGUCUGCUUAUCCGUCUUUCUGGCGGAUUGGACUUUACUUGGGUUGCACGACCGCCUAGAGGUCGUUCUGGGGGCAUUUUACUUGGCAUAAAUACAGGGACUAUGGAUGUUUUGGCUAGUUCGGAUGGUGAGUUUCACGUUAAACUUCAUAUACGCAACAAGGCCAACAACUUCACAUGGACCCUCGUCACCGUGUAUGGAGCAGCCAAGGAUGAGUUGAAGGCCGAUUUUCUACAUGAAUUGGUUAAUCUGGCAAAAGGUAAUCCAUAUCCCAUUCUUAUGGGUGGGGAUUUUAAUUUGCUUCGAUUUCCAAAUGAGAAAAGCCGUGGUAGGUUUGAUAAUCAUUGGUCUUUCCUUUUCAAUGCUGUCAUCGACAGUCUAGAUCUGCGAGAGGUUUCCAUGAUUGGAAGACAAUUCACUUGGGCGAACAGUUUUCCAGAACCAACAUAUGAGAAACUAGAUCGUGUCUUAAUGGAUACCGACUGGGAAUCUAAAUUUCCUAUGGUGUUUGUUCGUGUUCUACCUCGUAUCGAGGCUAUAUCAGACCACACUCCCAUUCUCCUAACUACUGGCUUGCCACGACCACAACAUAGACGCAAGUUCAAGUUUGAACUUGGA